UGUUAGCGUUACAUAAAACAACCAUCCUGCUUGCAAUUCAAGAGCUUCAUAGCAGCUAAAUUUGUCUAAAAAAAAAUUUAAAAAAUCACUGCAAGAUUAGAAAUUUAAUUAAAGUUAUUAAAGAAUUAAAGUUGCAACAUCCAAGAAGCGGCACCGUGCAUUUACUAAACCACUGCACUAUUUCUGCUUUGUGAAAGACGCAAACAACUUAGAGAGAACAAUUUAUGUGUGAAGCUUCCCUGAGAACAGAAGAACAGAGGGUCAGUACCAGAAGAGUAACCAAGAUCAUUAAUGAAGACACAGAACAUUGCAGCGAUGAAUACGGAGGAAUGAGAAGUAGGCAAUACUAUACAUGUUGGAGAAACCAUAAACUGAUGCAAAGGACUUGCGUCUUAUUCAGGGCAUGGGAGGGAUCCAAAAAGGCAAAAUUCAAGUCACAAAGACCACCAUGAAUUUGCAGCUCAGCGUUAAUUUGAAAACAGGACUGUUUUUCUCUUUUAUAUAACUCCAUGCUGCUUUCCAAGUGAACAUUUUUUUUUAAGAAUCACUUGAACAGCACAUGGGAAUCUCACCACCAGCUUCUCCUAUGCAGAUCCUCAAGGUCAGUGGCCUAACCACCACAUUUCUGAUGACAAACGGUCCCGUUUUCACCUAAACUUUCACUGAAAUCAAAACAUUUUGGCAUUAGUCAAAUCAGUGUGUUUUGGUAGAUUUAGUUUAGCUGAAGAAGUGUUCCAACCGACUCUAAUCCUCCUGUUAAAAUGAAAAAUGACAGAGUUCCUGCAAAUGCACACAGUUCCCACACAGCAGUGUUCUGAGAGCAGCACGGUUAUCAGCGCUGCUUCGUAACACCUCAUGUGCAGGAACAUAGGCCAUAUAUCAGAACAAAAAGCAGCAGAAGAAAUCUUUCGAAAGGGGGCUGUAUUAAAAAUCGUUGAUCAGGUGAACACAAAGCAUGGGUUACAAUCACACUGCUGUUUUCAAGCAGAGGGAGCUAUUGUACAGGAAGAGAAGAGCGACGUAAACUGCACAGUGACAGGGUUAAGUCUGUAAUGUGGGCACUGCUGUAAAAACCCCAAAUGUUUGUUACCAGGACUGUGAAUCACAACACUAUUGCCACAAGAAAUGUAACAAAAGCCACAUGUGAAGACAGACCUACUCUGUUGGAAGGUGCAAUCUUUUAUAUGUAUUCUUUAUAACUUCAGGGUGACUACAACUGUGGAUUGCACCACGUUUUUCUUACCAAAACAAAGGAGCAGUGUUUUUCUGCAAACUUAGCAUUACGAUUUAAACUCGCCCAAAUGCACUUAAAGAACAACACCUGCUAAAACAAGACAGCAAACACUGAAUUCACAUCUUGUAAACAGUGAGUGCA
This is a non-coding RNA of Coturnix japonica (Japanese quail), 1375 nucleotides long. NCBI's taxonomy places the organism in Eukaryota, Metazoa, Chordata, Aves, Galliformes, Phasianidae. The record is from RefSeq and is a predicted model, not a curated record.